UACGAAGGGGGCUAGCGUUACUCGGAAUUACUGGGCGUAAAGGGCGCGUAGGCGGCUUUUCAAGUCGGACGUGAAAUUCCUGGGCUCAACCUGGGGACUGCGUUCGAGACUGUUGGGCUGGAGGAUGGAAGAGGGUCGUGGAAUUCCCAGUGUAGAGGUGAAAUUCGUAGAUAUUGGGAAGAACGCCGGUGGCGAAGGCGGCGACCUGGUCCAUUACUGACGCUGAGGCGCGACAGCGUGGGGAGCAAACAGG
Molecule: ribosomal RNA, 253 nt
Filed under: uncultured bacterium
Lineage: Bacteria
Description: partial 16S ribosomal RNA
Rfam family: Bacterial small subunit ribosomal RNA
Source: RNAcentral